AUUAGAGGGAAAUGAGGAUCGUUACCUUAAGGACUGGAACACCACCCUUAAAAAUUCAAGGCUCUGGAUUUUAGAAUUGGGGUGAUGUGCUCUAUUUUCCUGUUUUUUGUGGAAAUGUGAGCAGCAGCAUUCUGUAUCAGCUGCAGCUGUAUGCUAUUUCUUUUUUUAGGCAGACCUGUGAAGACAUUGUUGCAGUAAUCAAUGCAAAUAAAGUUAAACACAUGGAUGAGUUUUUCUAGAUCUCGCUGAGACACUAGUCCUGUAAUCCUAAAAAUGUUCUUCAGGUGAUAGAAGGCUGACUUUGUAACUGUCUUUAUGUGGCUCUGAAGGUUCUGGUCAGAGUCCAUCACUACUCCCAGAUUUCAGGCAUGAUUGCUACUUUCUAGCAGUAAUAGCUGAAGCUGAGUGUUGACUCUAGAUUGGUCCAAAGAUGAUAAUUUCAGUUUUGUCUGCAUCUGUUUAGUGCUUGUAUGCGGUUCAAAGUCACCUGGUGACAUCGUAACAUCCUGCAUAGUUAUGGUAUCCCAUCUUAUUUCCUGUUAUUACCUGAGCUAGUAGGAGAAUGUAGAUAUUUUAAGUAAGAGGGGUCCUAGGAUCGAAACUUGGGAUACCCCACAUUUAACUUCUGUCCUCUUCCAUGAGAAAUUAACUAUUGAAACAAAGAAAUCUGUGUUCUUUAUGUAAGAUUCAAACCAACUGAGUACUGGACCAGAGAGUCCUACCCUACUCUCCAGUCAUUCAGUAAUAACUUACAUUGCCAAAAGUAUUCGCUCAUCUGCCUUGACUUACAUAUGAGUUUAACUGACAUCCCAUUACUAAGCUUUUGCAGCUAGAAUAGCUUUAACUCUUCUGCUCACAAAGUUUAGGAGUGUUUAUGGGGAUUUUUGUCCAUUCUUCCAGAAGUGCAUUUGUGAGGUCACAUAGUGAUGUUGGAUAAGAAGGCCUGGCUCUCAGUCUCCGCUCUAAUUCAUCCCAAAGGUGUUUAUUAGGUUGAGGUCAAGACUCUGUGCAGGCCAGUCAAGUUCAUUGACCCCAGACUCUGCCAUCCAUGUCUUUAUGGACCUUGCUUUGUGCUCUGGUGCUCAGUCAUGUUGGAAGAGAAAGGGGUCAACUCCAAACUGUUCCCACAAAGUUGGGAGCAUGGAAUUAUCUAAAAUGUCUUGGAAUAUGUAGUUCCUUUCACUGGAACUAAGGGGCCAAGUCCAUCUCCUGAAAAACAACCCCACACCAUGAUCCCCCCUCCACCA
Molecule: long non-coding RNA, 1247 nt
Organism: Xiphophorus hellerii (green swordtail)
Lineage: Eukaryota; Metazoa; Chordata; Actinopteri; Cyprinodontiformes; Poeciliidae
Exons: 3
Source: RefSeq, a predicted model, not a curated record